This 72-nucleotide transfer RNA is filed under the name Bos taurus (domestic cattle). It matches the Rfam family "tRNA". Rfam says of the family: Transfer RNA (tRNA) molecules are approximately 80 nucleotides in length. Their secondary structure includes four short double-helical elements and three loops (D, anti-codon, and T loops). The record is from Rfam by way of RNAcentral. Lineage: Eukaryota; Metazoa; Chordata; Mammalia; Artiodactyla; Bovidae. RNAcentral also lists the same sequence under 5 other names.
UCCCUGGUAGCUCAGACGGUAAAGAAUCUGCCUGCAAAGCAGGAGACUCAGGUUCGAUCCCUGGGUUGGAAA